This 497-nucleotide ribosomal RNA is filed under the name uncultured bacterium. RNAcentral's name for it is "partial 16S ribosomal RNA". It matches the Rfam family "Bacterial small subunit ribosomal RNA", at positions 28 to 507 of the family's 1533-position model. The record is from RNAcentral.
GAUGAACGCUGGCGGCGUGCCUAAUACAUGCAAGUCGAGCGAACGGACGAGAAGCUUGCUUCUCUGAUGUUAGCGGCGGACGGGUGAGUAACACGUGGAUAACCUACCUAUAAGACUGGGAUAACUUCGGGAAACCGGAGCUAAUACCGGAUGAUAUUUUGAACCGCAUGGUUCAAAAGUGAAAGACGGUCUUGCUGUCACUUAUAGAUGGAUCCGCGCUGCAUUAGCUAGUUGGUAAGGUAACGGCUUACCAAGGCAACGAUGCAUAGCCGACCUGAGAGGGUGAUCGGCCACACUGGAACUGAGACACGGUCCAGACUCCUACGGGAGGCAGCAGUAGGGAAUCUUCCGCAAUGGGCGAAAGCCUGACGGAGCAACGCCGCGUGAGUGAUGAAGGUCUUCGGAUCGUAAAAUUCUGUUAUUAGGGAAGAACAUAUGUGUAAGUAACUGUGCACAUCUUGACGGUACCUAAUCAGAAAGCCACGGCUAACUACGUG